RNAcentral lists this ribosomal RNA (429 nucleotides) under Bacteroidota bacterium. RNAcentral describes it as "Bacteroidetes bacterium partial 16S ribosomal RNA". It matches the Rfam family "Bacterial small subunit ribosomal RNA", at positions 355 to 776 of the family's 1533-position model. The record is from RNAcentral. Lineage: Bacteria; Pseudomonadati; Bacteroidota.
UAGGGAAUCUUCCGCAAUGGACGCAAGUCUGACGGAGCAACGCCGCGUGAGUGAAGAAGGAUUUCGGUUCGUAAAACUCUGUUGUUAGAGAAGAACAGCGCAUAGAGUAACUGUUAUGCGUGUGACGGAAUCUAACAAGAAAGCCACGGCUAACUACGUGCCAGCAGCCGCGGUAAUACGUAGGUGGCAAGCGUUGUCCGGAUUUAUUGGGCGUAAAGCGAGCGCAGGCGGUCAAUUAAGUCUGAUGUGAAAGCCCCCGGCUCAACCGGGGAGGGUCAUUGGAAACUGGUUGACUUGAGUGCAGAAGAGGAGAGUGGAAUUCCAUGUGUAGCGGUGAAAUGCGUAGAUAUAUGGAGGAACACCAGUGGCGAAGGCGACUCUCUGGUCUGUAACUGACGCUGAGGCUCGAAAGCGUGGGUAGCAAACAGG